AAGAGUGGUUAAUAUGUGUUUGUAGGACUAUACACACUCAAAGAGCCUUUCAGAGAAAGAAGUGUUGAAGCACACUAGUGGUGACCUUGAAGUGGUCAGCAUUGCUUGUGGCCUAGUGGGAGGGGACACACUUCUCACUACUAUGCCUGAGAGCAUGGGAGUGCUCAUUUCACAAAUCACAAAAGAUAGUAGGAGAUACCAAACCCUGAGAUUUUUGGAGGAAUUGCUUGGUAAAGUUCCAAUCGUGCACAUUGAAGAUGUUUGUGAGGCACACAUAUUAUGCAUGGAGAAGCCUUCCAUCAAUGGCAGAUUUCUAUGUGUUAGUGCAUAUUUGUCUUCAGCAGAGAUAGCAUCUCACUGGGAAAAAAAUUACCCAAGUCUCAAAAUAGCUGAAGAGUAAGUUACUAACUUGCUACACAAGCUAUUAAGAAAAUUUUACAGUACUGUUGUUCUGGCAUUUCAAAAAAAUUAUUAUGCACUCUUCAAAUUGCAAUUCCUCCUUUAUAUUUUUGCAAAGGUGGACCACAUGAUAUCGCUUUUAGAGCACUAAUAACAACUUCUAAAAUCUACAAUGGUUCCUAACAAUACACAUUAUCCUUGUUUCAGGUUUGUGGAAGAUUCAGGGAGAGACAUUGGCUGGGGUUCCACAAAGCUUAAGAAAAUUGGAUUUGAGUACAAAUUUGAUGCCAAGGUGAUAUUAGAUGACACUCUAAAGUGGGCCCAAAAGAUGGGUGAGUUUGCUUCCAGCCAAAAUACUGUUGUACCCAAGUAAUGACCAAUGAGAAAUAAAUAACUUGCCUCUGAUCGGUGAUCAGUCAAUUGCAGCAGUUAAGAAGUUCGAAGUUCGAUAAUAUUUACAGAUUUGGUUACAAUACUUAAAUGUAUUUAAUAUAAUUUUAUCUCGAAUGCAAUUUUAUUUUUCAAAAUCAGCACUAUUCCUCUUGGAACCGAAGAAUUUACAAAUCAAUGAGACUAGAAGUGGAAAGAAGAAAAAGAAAGGCAAAGAGACACACAGAAAUGCUACCUCACACGUUACUUCUACCUAGGCAGAGGAAAGCUCUCUUCACAAACCUCAUCUUCCCCUCUGCAAUUUUUUCUGGGGUAUUUUUCUUUCUCAAGUGGAGAGGGAAAAGGUUAACAUCUUAAACCAAACAAUCUGGGGGAAAUUCAAAAUCAUCAGUUGAGAAAUCAAAAUCCCCAAUUGGUGAAUUGGUGACUGAAGUUGGAGCUGAGAUUAUCUCAGUGAGACCAGAUUCUGAAGUCUGCACAUCAUGCGCUAGUCCGAAACUGCUCAUAUGGCACAUCCCACCCCUACCCCCACCCCCUUACCCAUCUCUUCCUUCCCGUCCGUCUGUCCCCACCCUUACCCAUCUCUCCCACUCUUCUUCUUCCUCCACACCAACCCCAACACACUCCCUGACACCCUUUUCUCAAUUCCCUCCUUCCCUCUCCCUCUCUAGGGUUUUAACUUCGAAUUCCACCCCUCUCCCGCCUCUUCCCCCGCCACUCUCCGCCUCCCGCCUCCACGCGUCUCCUUCCCCCAAAACCCAUAUCCCCCUCCACCUUUCCCACCUCAAAGCCCCGCAACCCAAAUACCUGCAACCCACUACUUGCAAAACCACAACCCACAAUCGUCGCCGAGGGGGGGUCGCGGGAGCUUAUCGUCGACGGGAAGGGCAGAGGAAGGCAGGUGGGUCAUCGCGGGGGGUGGGGAGGGAAGGCAAGUGGGUCAUCCGGGGGGGGUGGGGGGAACGGACGGGUUUGGUUUCUUCUUUUGGGGGAAGGGAUUUUGUAAAUAGGAGUUACAAAUAGAUGAGGGGGAAGGAAGGGACCUGGUUCGGGUAUUUUGGUUUUUAUUUUUUUAUUUUUUUUAUUUUUAAUAGGGUUAAUAUUAUAAUAUUGUUAAUGUAUAAAAAAAUUUAUUUUAUUUUUUAUGUGGCAUCGAUAUCAGCAUAAAUGUGGUAGCCACGUCAGUAUUUAACAGAUCAUUGGAUGAAAUGUGUUAUUUUGAAAUAAAAUAGUACAUAAGAUAUGAAAUUGAAAUGUUUUAUAGAUAUUGUAUGGAGAUGUAAUAAAUCCGAAAUCUGAAGGGUUUUUAUGUAAUUUAACCAAAGAAUUGAUUAAAGUUGUAUGAGUUAAACCCGGCCACAUGAUUUGUGGCGCAAAAAAAAUGAUAAAAAAUUAGAAAGAAAUUGGUUGUAGGGAAAAAUGAUUAAAAAAUAAAAAAACUAACAAAAAAGAUUUGAAAACUUUGAGUUUUAACGAAAAUGAUAAAAAUGUGUUGUGUGUGAAUAGGAUCAGUAUUAACUUUUAAGAUUAAAAAUAUGUGAUUUUUUGUUAAAUUAAACAGCAUCGAGAGUGUUUCGUAAAAACUCUCUUAAAAAAUAUGGGUCAUUGACAGGUGGAUAGAAAGGUCAAACCCGGUAUAUUACUGUACAAAAUGGAAAAAAAGCACAUGGGAAAGAGUAACAUAAGGGGCAUUUUAGGCAGUUCACUAUGAACAGUGUUUUUGUGUUGGAUUUUAGUGUAUGUAUAAUGCAACACGGCUCUUUUGGCAUUAUUAUAUUAUGUGUGCUGAACAAGCACAACGUGGCACAGAAAUGCACCACAAUUCAAGAAUUUGGAGUUUUUCUGAGAUUCCUCACAAUGCCGGUUCGAUGACGUUACUUCCAAGAUUUAUAUAUUGCUGUAUAAAAUGAAUAAUAUUUGAAAGAUUAAAUUUGUGAACUAAAUUUUAUAAACUAAAUGAUAUAAAAAUUGAUGAUUAAAUUGUUAUGUAAACAUUGUAAACUGUAUUUAUUUUUAUUAAUAAUAUAUCAUUUAGUUUGUAAAUUUAAUCUAUAAAUUUAAUCUCUUUAAUAUUAUUCAUAUAAAAAUCACAAGGCUGGAUAUAGUACUUGGGAUUUUGCUUAGAAUUGCUGAUCGAAAUCGCAAAUGGAGAACACUAGGGUUUGCGUUACUGGAGGCUCAAGCUACCUCGGCUCUUCACUUAUCAAAGGGCUCUUAGAGAAAGGAUACACCGUCCAUGCAACCCUAAGAAAUCUGGGUUCUCUCUCUCUCUCUCUCUCACACACACACACGCACAAAACUUGCUUAAUUAAUAUUGUGGAUAAAUAUUUUUGCAGGUGAUCCAUUUAAAGUGGGACUUCUCAAGGGUCUUCCUACUCCUGGUGCAGACAGCAGACUGAAAUUGUUUGAAGCAGAUAUAUAUAAUCCUGAUGAGUUUGAGACAGCAAUUCAAGGGUGCAACUAUAUUUUUCACUUGGCCACCCCUUUGCAGCACGAGCCCAAGGAUACUCAGGUUUGUUCUUUUUUUUUGGAAAACUACUCAGGUUAGCUUCCUCAUCGUCUUGUCUUAUUAUUGACUGAAAAUAUUACAAGAAUAGAAAAAGAAAAGAAAAAGGGGAGAUCUAGAUCUGAAAUGGUUUGAAAGAAUUGUUAAUUAUUUAUUCUUUCUACUCAUCUGAUCGAGAAAGUAAUUUUUUUUUUUGUGUGUUGCGAAAAGUUUCUAAUUUUUGUCCUGUGCCUUCCUCACUAGAAAAUAUUAUUAUAUGUGUGACAGUAAUGUUUUCUGUUAAUUUUUUUUUUUGCUUAAAUGUUUUCUGUUAAUUAUAUUAACAAGAUGUUAACCCCUCGAUAAUGCGAGAAAAUACACUCUCUUAAGGGCUGGUUUGGUAUUGUUGUGUUGUAAGAAUAAGCAGCUGUGAAAUAAAGCAGCAGACUGUAUGGUAAACUUUUUUGUAAAAGUGUUUUUGAAAAAAAAAAAAGUAUUAUAGUAUUUUUUUUGUAAAACAGAUGUGAAAAAAGUCGGUUUUUCAAAGUUGGGUUUUGCAACUUUGUGUUUUUGGUUUUUUUUCAUCCAAAACUGUGAAAAAAGUUGAAGCUGAAUGUUUACCAAACACAAAAAACUCUUAGGUUUUUUUUAUAUCCAUUUUUUUUAGAAUCACCUCAGUACCAAAUCAGGACUAAGUAACUGAAAAUAACGUCAAUCUAAACAAAUACCAGCGGCUUUUUGAUUAAAUCCAACUGUUGCAAACAUUAGAGUUUAAUAAGUUUCCUAAGCACACUUCCAACCUCCAAAGAAAAUGUCAAUUUAUGACAGUUAAGUUGCAAUUCAUAACUUAUGUGAUAAUCUGAAGUCUUAUGUCAAAUUUUGUACUUCCCCAAACGAAUUAUCAAAUAUAUAUAUUUUUUAUUAAUAUAGAGGUUUAAAUGAUUGUAUUUAUUAAAAAAACUGUUAGAAACAAAAAUUUUAUUGGUUAAAAUGUUAGUAGAAUAAGGAACUCACCAUUAAAACUAAUUAAAAAUAAAUUGGACGUUGAUGUCAAAUCUGACUCUUAAUCAUAAAGGUUUCAAAACUGGUCAACAAAUAAUACUUCGGUUAGAAUGAUUUUUUAUGUCAAACAUGCACCAAUGACAUCUCUACUUAAGACUUGACAUCUCCUUGGAGAUGCUCUAAUGCCACACUUGUUUACUACUGGACUAGUUCAAAGACACUUCUGAAGCUGCAGUUUCGGGAAUUAAGAGCAUAGUGAGGUCUUGUAUCAAAUCAGGCACCGUAAAGCGGCUCAUUUACACAGCCUCUGUGGUGGCCGCUUCACCAAUCAAAGACUCUGGAAAUGGCUUCAAACAGUUCAUGGAUGAGUCCUGUUGGACACCCCUCAAUCUUUCAUUUGCCUUUGCCAAUAAAGUAUUGAUUGUAAGUAUAUCAAAUUUAUUUCAAUUAAGAAACAAAAUUUAUAAUUAUUGUGUAAGAAAGUUGUUCUAUUGUCAAGUUGCUUUUGAAGAAAUAUCAACCACUGAUGGUAAGAGUGGGAAAUAAGUGCCCACGUGCGACUAACUCUAGCAUAUUUCUUCCUUAAGAAUGGAAUCAUCUAUUAUUUGUUAGUACUUUGCUUUUUUUAAAAGAAAAGGAAAGAAAAAAAACGAAAGAGUGGUUAAUAUGUGUUUGUAGGACUAUACACACUCAAAGAGCCUUUCAGAGAAAGAAGUGUUGAAGCACACUAGUGGUGACCUUGAAGUAGUCAGCAUUGCCUGUGGCCUUGUGGGAGGGGACACACUUCUCACUGCUAUGCCUGAGAGCAUGGGAGUGCUCAUUUCACAAAUCACAAAAGAUAGUAGGAGAUACCGAACCCUGAGAUUUUUGGAGGAAUUGCUUGGUAAAGUUCCAAUUGUGCACAUUGAAGAUGUUUGUGAGGCACACAUAUUAUGCAUGGAGAAGCCUUCCAUCAAUGGCAGAUUUCUAUGUGUUAGUGCAUAUUUGUCUUCAGCAGAAAUAGCAUCUCACUGGGAAAAAAACUACCCAGGUCUCAGAAUAGCUGAAGAGUAAGUUCUAACUUGCUACACAAGCUAUUAAGAAAAUUUUACAGUAUUGUUGUUCUAGCAUUCUAAAAAAUUUAUCAUGCACUAUUCAAAUUGUAAUUCCUCAUUUGUAUUUUUACCAAGGCGCAUGAUAUCGCUUUUAGAGCACUAAUAACAACUUCUAAAAUCUACAAUGGUUCCUAACAAUACAC
RNAcentral lists this long non-coding RNA (5513 nucleotides) under Malus domestica (apple). Its description in RNAcentral is "long non-coding RNA (MDOM_LNC000838)". Lineage: Eukaryota; Viridiplantae; Streptophyta; Magnoliopsida; Rosales; Rosaceae. The record is from RNAcentral.